Non-coding RNA from Meleagris gallopavo (turkey), 608 nucleotides. The record is from RefSeq and is a predicted model, not a curated record. Lineage: Eukaryota; Metazoa; Chordata; Aves; Galliformes; Phasianidae.
AUCCCAGAAUCACAAAAUCACAGAAUUGCAGAAAUUGAAAGGAACCUCAAGAGAUCAUUGAGUCCAACUCCUCCACUAAAGCUGGCAUUCUACAAUAGAUCACACGGAGUCACAGAACUACAGAAUUGCAGGAGUUGGAAAGGAACCUGGGAGAUCAUCUAGAUCAAUUCCACUGCUAAAGCAGGUUGCCUACGUAGGUUGCACAGGAAAGCAUUCAGGGCAGAAAGCAAAUGGCUGCAUGUGUCUCAGCUGCCUGCUGGGGUUGAUAUACAGAAACAGUGCAAACUGGAAGAAUGUAAAUAGUUAUUUAUGUUAAUAUUUAUGAAUCUGUUACUUGUCCUGAAGAAAUUUCUCAUUUAUCUACUUGACUUCUACAAAACUUCCAAAAAGCUGCAGUCAUCUCUGGCCAAAUAUUCGCAACUGAUUUCAAGAUAAUAGAUGAAAUAAAUGAAGAGAUGAAUCUACAAAAAUAUAUUGGACAAGAAAAAGCAUAUACGUUACCAUAUCUGAAGCCACUGCUAUAAAGGAUUAUAGAAAAAUGAAGAAAGAAUUCUCAUGAAAACAAUGUUUGAUUGACUGCUGUUUCUCCGAUGUUUUUAGAAAAAAGG